UCCCUGGUGGCUCAGUGAUAAAGAAUCUGCCUGCAAUGCAGAAGGCCCAGGUUCGAUCCCUGGGUGGGGAA
Odocoileus virginianus texanus is the source of this 71-nucleotide non-coding RNA. The record is from the annotation of a RefSeq genome assembly. NCBI's taxonomy places the organism in Eukaryota, Metazoa, Chordata, Mammalia, Artiodactyla, Cervidae.